GCGGCCGUGGCGAAACGGUAGACGCACGCGCUUGAGGGGCGCGCGCCCUGUGCAUCCGAGUUCGAUUCUCGGCUGCCGCACCA
RNAcentral lists this transfer RNA (83 nucleotides) under Bradyrhizobium barranii subsp. barranii. Its description in RNAcentral is "Bradyrhizobium sp. 144S4 tRNA-Leu". Lineage: Bacteria; Pseudomonadati; Pseudomonadota; Alphaproteobacteria; Hyphomicrobiales; Nitrobacteraceae. The record is from RNAcentral.